GACGAACCGUGCGAACGUUGUUCGGAUUCACUGGGCUUAAAGGGCGCGUAGGCGGGCGAUCAAGUCAGGGGUGAAAUCUUUCGGCCCAACCGGAAAAGUGCCCCUGAUACUGGCCGUCUCGAGGGGGGUAGGGGCAUGCGGAACUUCCGGUGGAGCGGUGAAAUGCGUAGAUAUCGGAAGGAACGCCGGUGGCGAAAGCGGCGUGCUGGACCCCUUCUGACGCUGAGGCGCGAAAGCCAGGGGAGCAAACGGG
This 253-nucleotide ribosomal RNA is filed under the name uncultured bacterium. Its description in RNAcentral is "partial 16S ribosomal RNA". It matches the Rfam family "Bacterial small subunit ribosomal RNA", at positions 524 to 776 of the family's 1533-position model. The record is from RNAcentral.